RNAcentral lists this non-coding RNA (25 nucleotides) under Cricetulus griseus (Chinese hamster). Lineage: Eukaryota; Metazoa; Chordata; Mammalia; Rodentia; Cricetidae. The record is from RNAcentral.
GCUGCUCAGAAAUUGCUGACUGGGA